RNAcentral lists this ribosomal RNA (505 nucleotides) under uncultured bacterium. RNAcentral's name for it is "partial 16S ribosomal RNA". It matches the Rfam family "Bacterial small subunit ribosomal RNA", at positions 28 to 507 of the family's 1533-position model. The record is from RNAcentral.
GACGAACGCUGGCGGCGUGCCUAAUACAUGCAAGUAGAACGCACAGUUUAUACCGUAGCUUGCUACACCAUAGACUGUGAGUUGCGAACGGGUGAGUAACGCGUAGGUAACCUGCCUGGUAGCGGGGGAUAACUAUUGGAAACGAUAGCUAAUACCGCAUAAUAUUAAUUAUUGCAUGAUAAUUAAUUGAAAGGUGCAAUUGCACCACUACCAGAUGGACCUGCGUUGUAUUAGCUAGUAGGUGAGGUAACGGCUCACCUAGGCGACGAUACAUAGCCGACCUGAGAGGGUGAUCGGCCACACUGGGACUGAGACACGGCCCAGACUCCUACGGGAGGCAGCAGUAGGGAAUCUUCGGCAAUGGACGAAAGUCUGGCCGAGCAACGCCGCGUGAGUGAAGAAGGGUUUCGGAUCGUAAAGCUCUGUUGUAAGAGAAGAACGGGUGUGAGAGUGGAAAGUUCACACUGUGACGGUAUCUUACCAGAAAGGGACGGCUAACUACGUG